Molecule: ribosomal RNA, 445 nt
Filed under: uncultured bacterium
Lineage: Bacteria
Description: partial 16S ribosomal RNA
Rfam family: Bacterial small subunit ribosomal RNA
Source: RNAcentral
GUGAGGAAUAUUGGUCAAUGGGCGGGAGCCUGAACCAGCCAAGUCGCGUGAAGGAAGAAGGAUCUAUGGUUCGUAAACUUCUUUUGCAGGGGAAUAAAGUGCGGGACGUGUCCUGUUUUGUAUGUACCCUGAGAAUAAGGAUCGGCUAACUCCGUGCCAGCAGCCGCGGUAAUACGGAGGAUCCGAGCGUUAUCCGGAUUUAUUGGGUUUAAAGGGUGCGUAGGUGGUUUGAUAAGUCAGCGGUGAAAGUUUGCAGCUUAACUGUAAAAAUGCCGUUGAAACUGUAGGACUUGAGUGUAAAUGAGGUAGGCGGAAUGCGUGGUGUAGCGGUGAAAUGCAUAGAUAUCACGCAGAACUCCGAUUGCGAAGGCAGCUUACUAAGCUACAACUGACACUGAAGCACGAAAGCGUGGGGAUCAAACAGGAUUAGAUACCCCUGUAGUCC